This 583-nucleotide ribosomal RNA is filed under the name uncultured bacterium. Its description in RNAcentral is "bacterial SSU rRNA". It matches the Rfam family "Bacterial small subunit ribosomal RNA", at positions 338 to 911 of the family's 1533-position model. The record is from RNAcentral.
CCUACGGGAGGCAGCAGUAGGGAAUCUUCCGCAAUGGACGAAAGUCUGACGGAGCAACGCCGCGUGAGUGAUGAAGGCUUUCGGGUCGUAAAACUCUGUUGUUAGGGAAGAACAAGUGCUAGUUGAAUAAGCUGGCACCUUGACGGUACCUAACCAGAAAGCCACGGCUAACUACGUGCCAGCAGCCGCGGUAAUACGUAGGUGGCAAGCGUUAUCCGGAAUUAUUGGGCGUAAAGCGCGCGCAGGUGGUUUCUUAAGUCUGAUGUGAAAGCCCACGGCUCAACCGUGGAGGGUCAUUGGAAACUGGGAGACUUGAGUGCAGAAGAGGAAAGUGGAAUUCCAUGUGUAGCGGUAAAAUGCGUAGAGAUAUGGAGGAACACCAGUGGCGAAGGCGACUUUCUGGUCUGUAACUGACACUGAGGCGCGAAAGCGUGGGGAGCAAACAGGAUUAGAUACCCUGGUAGUCCACGCCGUAAACGAUGAGUGCUAAGUGUUAGAGGGUUUCCGCCCUUUAGUGCUGAAGUUAACGCAUUAAGCACUCCGCCUGGGGAGUACGGCCGCAAGGCUGAAACUCAAAGGAAUU